Molecule: long non-coding RNA, 393 nt
Filed under: Rattus norvegicus (Norway rat)
Lineage: Eukaryota; Metazoa; Chordata; Mammalia; Rodentia; Muridae
Description: long non-coding RNA NONRATT008176
Source: RNAcentral
CUGGGUGUGCUCCGGGCCCACUCGUCUCCUAUCCCGACCAGUAUGGUUUUAUAGGGCUCCAGGCUUGCUCCGCUGCAGGGCCACCCAGACGCCAAGCCUCUUCAGGCCGCGGGCAGGCCCAGGGCCGCUUGGUGCCUCUGGGGUCUGUUUGGGACUCCGGCGUGACCUCUCUGCAUCUGUGUGAGAAGCUCGUCCAGGCCCUAUCCCCAAGCACAGAAUCCGGCGAGGAGACGCGCCCCGCAGGCCUUGGCAGUCGGGUUGUCACAGGCAGACCCCCUUCCCAAGACCCGCACCCUGGUGUCCCCUUGGUCCUCUGGGAUCCCCUCUCCUGGCAACUCGGACCUUUUAAUUCUUGGUGUGCAGAUGUGGUUGGGACAGGCCACUAGGCAGACA